UUGCUAAUACCCUAUAUGCCUUUAAGUCUUAAGACUGCAAGGGAAAUAUUUAUAGCUUGAAGAUCGGCCUGUACAGUAUCAGUUAGUUGGUGAGGCAAUGGCUCACCAAGACAAUGACGCUUAACUGGUUUGAGAGGAUGAUCAGUCACACUGGAACUGAGACACGGUCCAGACUCCUACGGGAGGCAGCAGUGGGGAAUAUUGCACAAUGGACGAAAGUCUGAUGCAGCAACGCCGCGUGGAGGAUGACACAUUUCGGUGCGUAAACUCCUUUUAUAUAGGAAGAUAAUGACGGUACUAUAUGAAUAAGCGCC
RNAcentral lists this ribosomal RNA (314 nucleotides) under uncultured Campylobacterota bacterium. Its description in RNAcentral is "bacterial SSU rRNA". It matches the Rfam family "Bacterial small subunit ribosomal RNA", at positions 160 to 494 of the family's 1533-position model. Lineage: Bacteria; Pseudomonadati; Campylobacterota. The record is from RNAcentral.